This 486-nucleotide ribosomal RNA is filed under the name uncultured bacterium. Its description in RNAcentral is "bacterial SSU rRNA". It matches the Rfam family "Bacterial small subunit ribosomal RNA", at positions 28 to 475 of the family's 1533-position model. The record is from RNAcentral.
GAUGAACGCUGGCGGCGUGCCUAAUACAUGCAAGUCGAACGCAUUGUGGUUGAAAUGAUAUGAAGAACUUGUUCAGAUUUGAUUUUCAACAUUGCAAUGAGUGGCGAACGGGUGAGUAACACGUGGGAAACCUACCUCUUAGCAGGGGAUAACAUUUGGAAACAAAUGCUAAUACCGUAUAAUAAUUAAAACCGCAUGGUUUUAGUUUAAAAGAUGGUCUUGCUAUCACUAAGAGAUGGUCCCGCGGUGUAUUAGUUAGUUGGUGAGGUAAUGGCUCACCAAGACAAUGAUACAUAGCCGAGUUGAGAGACUGACCGGCCACAAUGGGACUGAGACACGGCCCAUACUCCUACGGGAGGCAGCAGUAGGGAAUCUUCCACAAUGGACGAAAGUCUGAUGGAGCAACGCCGCGUGUGUGAUGAAGGGUUUCGGCUCGUAAAACACUGUUGUAAGAGAAGAAUGACAUUGAGAGUAACUGUUCAAUGU